GUUAGUUCUCCAUCCAAUGGGGUACAUCGGUAAAAUCAGGAACUAAAUAAUCUAUGGUUAAUGGUUCGGCUGUUGUAAUCCUGGAAACAGAGUCAAGGAAUGGCGAUGCUGUGAUGAGAUAAUGUAUAAUGAUUUAUCAUUGGAACCCACAUUUGACUGAGGUCGAUUGUCAUUUUAACUUUAACUUUUAAUCACCACAAACGAACAUGCACAAACUGGAUAACAUAAAAAGAAACCGGUACAUUUGAAGAUGUCCUCCGCCUCUUUGGCAGCGGUCACCGUUGAAACUGCUGCCUCUCCUGAAAAGGGCAGGACAGACUGGGAGUAAAGCCAUGGUCAAAGUGACUGGUUCAGCCCAACUUCCACUUUACCUUUUCACACCCAUAGGUCUGGCAGAGAGGAAAUGCAUGUACAUUGCUCCAUUUUUGCCAAAGUGUCAGUUUUUAUAAAAGAAGUUGGCUCGCACCGCCGCCCGCCACCCGGCGUCUCCAUCCCUCUCUCGGAAUUUCUAAAUUCUUAUCUUGGUCUGCAC
Long non-coding RNA from Esox lucius (northern pike), 532 nucleotides. The record is from Ensembl. Lineage: Eukaryota; Metazoa; Chordata; Actinopteri; Esociformes; Esocidae.